RNAcentral lists this ribosomal RNA (360 nucleotides) under uncultured Cellulomonas sp. RNAcentral's name for it is "bacterial SSU rRNA". It matches the Rfam family "Bacterial small subunit ribosomal RNA", at positions 1024 to 1382 of the family's 1533-position model. Lineage: Bacteria; Bacillati; Actinomycetota; Actinomycetes; Micrococcales; Cellulomonadaceae. The record is from RNAcentral.
UGGUCGGUGGACAGGUGGUGCAUGGUUGUCGUCAGCUCGUGUCGUGAGAUGUUGGGUUAAGUCCCGCAACGAGCGCAACCCUCGUCCUAUGUUGCCAGCGGGUCAUGCCGGGGACUCAUGGGAGAUUGCCGGGGUCAACUCGGAGGAAGGUGGGGAUGACGUCAAAUCAUCAUGCCCCUUAUGUCUUGGGCUUCACGCAUGCUACAAUGGCCGGUACAAAGGGCUGCGAUACCGCGAGGUGGAGCGAAUCCCAGAAAGCCGGUCUCAGUUCGGAUUGGGGUCUGCAACUCGACCCCAUGAAGUCGGAGUCGCUAGUAAUCGCAAAUCAGCAACGCUGCGGUGAAUACGUUCCCGGGCCUU